RNAcentral lists this ribosomal RNA (1240 nucleotides) under Bacillus sp. 38 JDE-2009. Its description in RNAcentral is "partial 16S ribosomal RNA". Lineage: Bacteria; Bacillati; Bacillota; Bacilli; Caryophanales; Bacillaceae. The record is from RNAcentral.
GGUGNRCGGGCGGUGUGUACAAGGYCCSGGAACGUAUUCACCGCGGCAUGCUGAUCCGCGAUUACUAGCGAUUCCAGCUUCAUGUAAGCGAGUUGCAGCCUACAAUCCGAACUGAGAACGGUUUUAUGGGAUUGGCUAAACCUCGCGGUCUUGCUGCCCUUUGUACCGUCCAUUGUAGCACGUGUGUAACCCAAGUCAUAAGGGGCAUGAUGAUUUGACGUCAUCCCCACCUUCCUCCGGUUUGUCACCGGCAGUCAUCUUARAGUGCCCAACUGAAUGCUGGCAACUAAGAUCAAGGGUUGCGCUCGUUGCGGGACUUAACCCAACAUCUCACGACACGAGCUGACGACAACCAUGCACCACCUGUCACUCUGUCCCCCGAAGGGGAAAGCCCUAUCUCUAGGGUUGUCAGAGGAUGUCAAGACCUGGUAAGGUUCUUCGCGKUGCUUCGAAUUAAACCACAUGCUCCACCGCUUGUGCGGGCCCCCGUCAAUUCCUUUGAGUUUCAGUCUUGCGACCGUACUCCCCAGGCRGRAGUGCUUAAUGCGUUAGCUGCAYCACUAAGGGGCGGAAACCCCCUAACACUUAGCACUCAUCGUUUUACGGCGKGGACUACCAGGGUAUCUAAUCCKGUUUGCUCCCCACGCUUUCGCGCCUCAGKGUCAGUUACAGAACCAAAAAAGUCGCCUUCGCCACUGGGWGUUCCCUCCAAAUAUCUACGCCAUUUUCACCGCUACACUUGGAAUUCCACUUUCCUCUUCUGCACUCAAGUUCCCCMAGUUUCCAAUGACCCUCCACGGUUGAGCCGUGGGCUUUCACAUCAGACUUAAGAAACCACCUGCGCGCGCUUUACGCCCAAUAAUUCCGGACAACGCUUGCCACCUACGUAUUACCGCGGCUGCUGGCACGUAGUUAGCCGUGGCUUUCUGGUUAGGUACCGUCAAGGUACCKCCCUAUUCGAACGGUACUUGUUCUUCCCUAACAACAGAGUUUCUACGAUCCGAAAACCUUCAUCACUCACGCGGCGUUGCUCCGUCAGACUUUCGUCCAUUGCGGAAGAUUCCCUACUGCUGCCUCCCGUAAGAGUCUGGGCCGUGUCUCAGUCCCAGUGUGGSCGAUCACCCUCUCAGGUCGGCUACRCAUCGUCGCCCUUGGAGAGNCGUUUACCUCACCAACUAGCUUAAUGCCGCCGCGGGUCCCAUCUGGUANGUGAUAGCUAAAAGCCACCUUUUCAACNUUN